GACGAAGGUGGCUAGCGUUGUUCGGUAUCACUGGGCUUAAAGAGUGUGUAGGCGGAAAGGUAAGCGUCCUGUGAAAGCCCCCGGCUCAACCGGGGAAUUGCGAGACGAACUGCCUUUCUUGAGGCAAGUAGGGGUGCACGGAACUCUUGGUGGAGCGGUGGAAUGCGUAGAUAUCAAGAGGAACGCCGGUGGAGAAAUCGGUGCACUGGGCUUGUUCUGACGCUGAGACACGAAAGCGUGGGGAGCAAACGGG
Molecule: ribosomal RNA, 253 nt
Filed under: uncultured bacterium
Lineage: Bacteria
Description: partial 16S ribosomal RNA
Rfam family: Bacterial small subunit ribosomal RNA
Source: RNAcentral